UGUAAGCUAACAAACAUCGGAGGAAAGUAGUACUACUAUAGCAAAUUGUAGUAUUUGAGAUUCCAACCUACGUAUACAGAUUCACCAACCAGACACAUAGCAAAUUGCAGAGACUAGAAAAAGAAGCAGUAGUUGCCCUCGGAAUAAGAGCUAAUAAGCUCUUUAAUUUGGAUGAUGUGUCUAUCUUAUUCUUGAUUCUUUCAAAACUAUGCACUAGUCCGUUGCAACCCUCAAUUUACAGCUUCCUCUAAACAACUCUGGGUGUUGUGUGGGGGCAGGAAGCAUUUGAGUAGCAUCCAAAUAUUUUCCAUUUUCAAGUUUAGUUUGAAUAUGCAGACGCCUAAGUCAAGAAGCAGUUCCUCAGGAGCAGCUCCGAGGAUUUCUCCUCGCUCUAUUUCUGUUAGCCGUCUUUACCGAUUUCUAUACCGAAAUCACAUUCUAGAUUCGUAUUAAUUCAACCAUAAUAUAUACCACAUCAAAGAGAUGAUUUACCAACCUCCAUCCAUAGCUCAUAUUUGAUGUAGGGUGGAAUUCCACGAGUUGAUGUUUCCCCUAAAAGCUGCGGUUGAUAUUAUCGUCUCUUUGGCCUUUCCUUUAUGAAUUCUUUUGAUGGAGAAGAAUUCGAUAUCAAUAUGACUUUAUUGUAUAUAGGAUUCUGUAGAGAUUUCUGUGUGUUUAAAUCUGAAAAUCUGAUUUGUUUAUAUAAGAUAUAAGCAACCUUUCACGAAAGGUUGCAUCCGUUCACGAAAGGUUGCAUCCGUUCACUUAUACCCUUUCAUGUAAAACUCUUCAGAUUUUAUGUAGACUUUAUUCUACAGCUUUUCAUA
This is a long non-coding RNA of Salvia splendens (bonfire salvia), 827 nucleotides long. RefSeq lists it as uncharacterized. Lineage: Eukaryota; Viridiplantae; Streptophyta; Magnoliopsida; Lamiales; Lamiaceae. The transcript is spliced from 3 exons. The record is from RefSeq and is a predicted model, not a curated record.